UUUGAAGGUACUUUGUACUGCUAAGCUUGCAUGUGGUAUGUAAAAUAUCACACAACUGUCAUACACUAGCUCUCUCAUAAAUUUUAAUUCGCUCGAGCAAGAAAGGGUGUACUUUGGCGAGUAAAUGCUCUCAUACGUCUAUGUCGUGCCAUACAUAUAACAAAUUGCAUAAUUGCAUGAAUACGGUAACCACGACAACUAUUUCGGACCAAAAAUGAAAAAAAACAACUAAUUAUCUCUUCAUCCUCUUCCGUUUGUCUAAUCUACGACGAGCCAUGGCUGCAAUUCAAUUGAAAAAGUAAGAGUAAACUCAAACAACUCAAGAGCCAUGACUGCAAUUCAAUUAAAGAAAUAAGAUCAAACUCAAACAACAUACUCAAGAAAAUUAUUAAUGAGAAGGCAAUGAAAUAGUAACCCAACAAGCAUUUACUAGAAUGUGAAGCAAAGUUGAUUAUGACAGGUAACAAAUAGAAGUCACCAUAUGAGAAUAUAUAUGUGUUUAAUUAAGGUGUGUAAUGAGUAAAUAGAUCAAUCUAUAUCCCUCGACACCCAUUCACACAUUACUUAAAGUAUGAGGCAAUCAAACCAACAACACUCUCCUAGCAGCAAUUUAAAAACAGUCUAUUUUACAUGCAUGGAAUGCAACAGACCCUCCAAGGACUAAACAGUCUAGAAUUAUAUAGUUCCUCUCACUUUAAGCAGAACAUCAUGUCCAUGCUCAUUUCUUCAUCUUUUUAAAGAACACAAUUGAAUUAAAGUGUUUUAAUUUUCUAGCACUAAUUCAAUGUAUAUAACAAUGAGGACCAAAAUUAUAAAACAAAAGAAACAAGUGAGAUUUAAUUGUUUUUGUUUUAAUUAAUUUUGUGGAUAAACCUACAAUUAUUUAAAAAAAAUUGAAAUUAUCUUUAUGAUUUUUUCCCCUGUAAAUACAAAAAUGACAUCCUUACUACAUAAGAGAAGUUUGUAAAAUAAAUAACUUUAUUUUAGAGUAUUUUUUUAGCGCAUACAAAAAUUAUUGGGAUUCUGUUUCAUGUAGCUUUCAGCAGAGCUAGAGUAUUUUUUGAGUGGAUGGAUGUUAGUUUGGAUAAGGCUUUGUGAAAUUUAGAUAGACACACUUAUAAGGGGUUGAAUAAGUGUGAAAAUAAACUAUAUCAAAAUUUUUGUAAUUUAAAUAUUUAGUCAAAAAAUUUAAGUUUGCCAAUAUUUAUAAACUUAUACUAAUUGAUGACCUGAGUUGAAUUAAUUAAUAUUGUGAUGAAGUAUUAAGAUAUUCAAAUUAUAUUUUUCAAUUCAAAUUAAAGUAUCUAAUGAGCAAUUAAAAUAAGCACAAUCAAACACACGAGCACAAAUGAUUUUUAUGUGAUUUAGCCCUUAACCUCUACUCUAGUGGCCUAAUCCACGUCAAAUACCAACUAAUAUUAGAGACUCACUUUAUUAAUCAAUAUAACACCGUUACAGAACAAGUUUACAAAUUACUCGAACACUUUUGUUCACCUUGUACACUUGUACACCCCUUGAAUACCUAUACUCACUUGAACACUUUUGCGGUACACUUAUGUACCCCAAACACCUAAGCUUCCUUAAACUUGUUUGUAACAAACUUAAUCCAACCCGGAUUAGAACUUGUAGACUAACCUUAGUCUAUUUAUGCAAUGAUUAAUGUAAUGUAAAGAAUUAGGUUAUCACCCGUUAUAAAGCAAAGAGGAAAGGUGAAGAUUAUCAGAGACUUUUUAAUGCACAGAAACUUUGUUAAUGAAUCGCUCACAGUUCAAAAUUAAACUUGGAUAGGGUUGUUUUCAAAUUAUUUGCCCGUUGAAAAUUAAACUUGGAUAAGGUUGAAUGAUACAAGAAUCAAUAUAACCAUGAAAUCAUCUAGACCCACUAAUUAAUUAUCAAUACAAGCCCAACUAUUAAUUUCCAACUAAUCACGUUGCUAAUAGAAUAUUCAAUAACAUUUUUCCAACCUAACUUAUUCCAAAUAAGGUAAGCAAGUAUCCUGUUUAAUCAAUUAAGGAACCAUUACAAGAAAUUUAGUCACUAACUAUCCCACUAAUAUAGAGAGAUGAUAGCAUGAUUUACUCUAAUUGAUUGCAUGCACCACUUAUUUUUUUAAAAUUGAUAUUUUCACAUGAUUUUUUGAUAUUUUUACAUGAAAAAAGUCGCUAUAGAUGUAUAGCGACGGCAAAAAUUGUCGCUAUAGGAUUUAUAGUGACGGUUUUCAUGUGAAAAUAUAAAAAAAUCACGUGAAAAUAUAAGUUUCUCUAAUUUUUCCUACUAAAGAAUACUGCAAUCUUUUUGUAAACCAUUGACUAACCUUAAUCCCAAGAGGCAAUCCAAUCAACCAAAGGUUUAGAUUUCAAAUCAAAUCCGGCUGAUAUAAGAUAAUUAAUAAUUGCAAUACCAUGUAAUAAGCUUAGCAGCUUAAUUUAAGGAACAUGAUAUCUUAUAUCAGUAUACUCCACCUCAACAGCAUAUUGAUCAGCAUAUUGCUUCAUUGUAGUCUUCUGUCCCACAUAAAAAGCUGAGGUGGAGUAUGUCACAUCAGCAAUUUGUAAAAUAAUUUGUAUCUCUAGCAUUUUUUUUAUUUUUAUUUUUUUUGAAUCAUUUGUGUAGCAUUAUUCUUCAAAAUUAAUAUGGAAAUAUUUUAAAAUGUUGGAUUUUAAUUGUUCCUAAAAUUAGGUGCUCUAAGUCAUUGCAUUGCAUUUAAAUAAUUAUGAAAAUGGCAAAGUUGUGAUUAAUAAAUUUAAAUGGACAUCUAAAAUAAAAGUGGUGAAAAUUAAAGAAUGCAUUUCGGUUGAUAAAAAAGAUUAUUUUAAGGUGUAUAUAUUAAAAUUGGAUAAUUAGAUAAUCAAAUAUAAUCAUCUGGUUAGAACAUCUAACUAGUGGCUGACUCCUAUAAAUGAUUCCUUAAAGACAACAUAUCAAAUUGAUUAUAUAUUGGAUCCAGAAAUAUUUAAGAUAUGCAUUCCUCCUUAAAUCAAGGAAAGCGCAAUUAAUUUGUUCCAUAAUAAAUUAACCACUUCAAUAAUUAUUUUCAUACAAUUCAAAAUUAUUUCCAUAUUAAUUUUGAAAUCCAAAUUUAUUUAAAUUUUCCCUCAUUAAUUAGCUUUCUAAAAAUUACUUUCAGAAUGUACAAAUAUAUGAUACACCAAUAUCACACACCUUCCUAACAAAAAAAUGCACCAAAAUCACUUUCAGAAUGUACAAAUAUAUGAUACACCAAGAAAAAUAUAACUAAAGUCAAUAAAAUUUUGCAAGCCCAAAUCUGAAAACAAAAUGAAACAUUAUUUUUACACAAACAAAACCCCCUCUGGCACAUUUUGCAUUGCAAAUAGUUCUCAUCUAUGACUGACAUCAAAAGUUAGAACGCAGGCUUUAAGUUGAAAUCACUUCUAGGAUCAAAAAGUAGAGGAGUAAUUCACAAUUUAAAAAAUAGUCAACAUGGAAACACCAAUAAAAAAUUUCACCUAGAUGUAAAGUGGUGUUACAAAGCCAAUCAUUAAGUGCUCCUUAAUUACUACUCCUUCCGUUCCUAAAAGAUUGUCGUUUAAGGUUUUGGCACAUGGAUUAAGAAAGUAUCAUUUACCAAGUAAAAUUUGUUUGAAAUUUCAUCACUACCCCUCUAUCGGAAUUGAAAACUAUUAAUACAAGAGAUAAUUUUUUGGGACAAUGAGAGAAGGUAGGGGUAAUGUAGGAAAAUAAAUAAUUUAUUUUUUUUAAACGACAAACAUUUUGGAACAAAUUUUUUACAACAAUCUUUUAGGAACGGAUGGAGUAUAUAACUGGAGUAACUACAACGUAUACCAGGGGAAAUACUAUACAUAGGUAUACUAAGAAACAUAGAGCUAAGUCAAAGAAAGGCUUUCACAUACCACAUACCUACGAAGUUUGAUCUAAGAAAUACGUAAUACCAUUCUCACACAAAAAACCAUCUAUGAAGUAAAAGAACGACCAACAUGAAAUUCAGAACAUCACAAAUUAAGAUAAUUUCAACAAAUAAUAGAAUUAUAGAUAUUAUACUAGAAAUAUAGAGAGAUUUGGAAUAUAUUUGAUUUAAUUCAAAGCUUUGAAAGGAUUUCGAAAUUACCUGUGAAUUAGAAAGUUUAGAAAUAUGAUGAUGCUAACUUGGAGCCAAAAAAUUGCGAUGAAAUUGAUUAUGUACCGAUCUCAGUCAUGGACCGAUCUCGCUUCUCCUCCCAUCGCUCUCCUCCUAUAGGGGUUCUCAAUAGAGAACAAAAUCCAUUGACUGAAUAAGAACUGGUAAAAGCCCUAUAUAUAAUAAUUUAGGGGCAAAAAUGAUCCCGAGUGGAUUCUGUUGGGC
Molecule: long non-coding RNA, 4321 nt
Filed under: Panax ginseng (ginseng)
Lineage: Eukaryota; Viridiplantae; Streptophyta; Magnoliopsida; Apiales; Araliaceae
Description: long non-coding RNA (PGIN_LNC002767)
Source: RNAcentral